Molecule: transfer RNA, 73 nt
Filed under: Camelus bactrianus (Bactrian camel)
Lineage: Eukaryota; Metazoa; Chordata; Mammalia; Artiodactyla; Camelidae
Also listed under: 2 other names
Rfam family: tRNA
About the family: Transfer RNA (tRNA) molecules are approximately 80 nucleotides in length. Their secondary structure includes four short double-helical elements and three loops (D, anti-codon, and T loops).
Source: Rfam by way of RNAcentral
GAGGGUAUAGCUUCAGGGGUAGAGUGUCUGCUUAGCAAGCACCAGGAACUGGGUUCAAUCCCCAGCACCUCCA